This 460-nucleotide ribosomal RNA is filed under the name uncultured bacterium. RNAcentral describes it as "partial 16S ribosomal RNA". It matches the Rfam family "Bacterial small subunit ribosomal RNA", at positions 338 to 795 of the family's 1533-position model. The record is from RNAcentral.
CCUACGGGAGGCUGCAGUGAGGAAUAUUUGUCAAUGGACGAGAGUCUGAACCAGCCACGUAGCGUGAAGGAUGACUGCCCUAUGGGUUGUAAACUUCUUUUAUAUGGGAAUAAAACAGGGUAUGCAUACCCUCUUGUAUGUACCAUAUGAAUAAGGAUCGGCUAACUCCGUGCCAGCAGCCGCGGUAAUACGGAGGAUCCGAGCGUUCUCCGGAUUUAUUGGGUUUAAAGGGAGCGUAGGUGGAUUGUUAAGUCAGUUGUGAAAGUUUGCGGCUCAACCGUAAAAUUGCAGUUGAAACUGGCAGUCGUGAGUACAGUAGAGGUGGGCGGAAUUCGUGGUGUAGCGGUGAAAUGCUUAGAUAUCACGAAGAACUCCGAUUGCGAAGGCAGCUCACUGGACUGCAACUGACACUGAUGCUCGAAAGUGUGGGUAUCAAACAGGAUUAGAUACCCGAGUAGUC